Molecule: ribosomal RNA, 586 nt
Filed under: Streptomyces sp.
Lineage: Bacteria; Bacillati; Actinomycetota; Actinomycetes; Kitasatosporales; Streptomycetaceae
Description: bacterial SSU rRNA
Rfam family: Bacterial small subunit ribosomal RNA
Source: RNAcentral
UUGUUGGUGAGGUAAUGGCUCACCAAGGCGACGACGGGUAGCCGGCCUGAGAGGGCGACCGGCCACACUGGGACUGAGACACGGCCCAGACUCCUACGGGAGGCAGCAGUGGGGAAUAUUGCACAAUGGGCGAAAGCCUGAUGCAGCGACGCCGCGUGAGGGAUGACGGCCUUCGGGUUGUAAACCUCUUUCAGCAGGGAAGAAGCGAAAGUGACGGUACCUGCAGAAGAAGCGCCGGCUAACUACGUGCCAGCAGCCGCGGUAAUACGUAGGGCGCAAGCGUUGUCCGGAAUUAUUGGGCGUAAAGAGCUCGUAGGCGGCUUGUCACGUCGAUUGUGAAAGCUCGGGGCUUAACCCCGAGUCUGCAGUCGAUACGGGCUAGCUAGAGUGUGGUAGGGGAGAUCGGAAUUCCUGGUGUAGCGGUGAAAUGCGCAGAUAUCAGGAGGAACACCGGUGGCGAAGGCGGAUCUCUGGGCCAUUACUGACGCUGAGGAGCGAAAGCGUGGGGAGCGAACAGGAUUAGAUACCCUGGUAGUCCACGCCGUAAACGGUGGGAACUAGGUGUUGGCGACAUUCCACGUCGUCG